UGGGGGAUAUUGCACAAUGGGGGAAACCCUGAUGCAGCGACGCCGCGUGAGGGAAGACGGUUUUCGGAUUGUAAACCUCUGUCUUUGGGGACGAAAGAUGACGGUACCCAAGGAGGAAGCUCCGGCUAACUACGUGCCAGCAGCCGCGGUAAUACGUAGGGAGCAAGCGUUGUCCGGAAUUACUGGGUGUAAAGGGAGCGUAGGCGGGAUAGUAAGUUGAUUGUUAAAACUAUCGGCUCAACUGAUAGAUGCGAUCAAAACUGCAAUUCUUGAGUGAAGUAGAGGCAGGCGGAAUUCCUAGUGUAGCGGUGAAAUGCGUAGAUAUUAGGAGGAACACCAGUGGCGAAGGCGGCCUGCUGGGCUUUAACUGACGCUGAGGCUCGAAAGUGUGGGUAGCAAACAGGAUUAGAUACCC
This 415-nucleotide ribosomal RNA is filed under the name uncultured bacterium. RNAcentral describes it as "bacterial SSU rRNA". It matches the Rfam family "Bacterial small subunit ribosomal RNA", at positions 355 to 787 of the family's 1533-position model. The record is from RNAcentral.